AGGCAUUACCACACUUUACAAUUUUUGAUAAUUUACUCUGAACUUCUCUGCACCAAAAGGUAAACUUUCCAAUUCUUCAUAUCAAGAAAUCAGAAAAGAACAUUAGGAAGAUGGUGGCCAAAAGGAUACAGAAAUUACAUUUCAUCAUCAAAGAUAAAUAGCUACAAAUCAGAAUGAGCUCACAUUCUCCAUCGCGUAAGCCUUGAGCAGAAGAAAACUUGGGACAUAAACGACUGCACAGCUCAAGAUAUUAGGAUCAACUCUCCGAAUAGCUUUAGUCUUGCCGGAGUAGUAUGCCAGUUGUCUGCCUCCCAAUUCCAUCACGAUAUCGCCGUCUUCAAAAACUUUGAUGGGGCAAACACAUCCCAAGCGAUCUUCCAUGCCAACAUUGCGAAUGAUAAAUUCCUUUGUCCAAGAUUCAUAAUUACCAUAUUCCUUCAUCAACCAGAUAUGAAUCUCGUAAUCAGGCCGGAACACAGUAGCCGUAUCACACACACAUAAGCAGUCCCCUAAAACAGACAAGUUUCUAGUCAUGUGAGGAUCACUAAGAGGAGGAGGAGAAAAGGUGCUAAAAAGCUCUGUUUCAAGGUCGAUGCAAGAAACCCCAUAUGAGAAGCGCUCGCUCGCCAAGAAAUGAAGCUUUCCAUUAAGAAGUGCCCCUUUACUCCUUUCUUCAUACUCGAGCAUGCUACCACACACAAUUCUUCUCCAUCGUACAGUCCCAACAGUAUAAACUUGGCAGUCACAUCGAUCAGGUCUUUCCGGGGUUGCUGAUAAAAUCCUAACCACCUUAAAUUUGCCACUGCUUCUGCUCACUCCAAACCCAUAAGUGUGCCUUUGAAGCCGAGGUUUGGAGUAAGGCCGUGGAAGAGGAGAAGGAAGCCUAAUAUACUCACGAGUGAUUGGAUUGCAUACGAAAAUAUCACCAUCUCCUUCACACAAGAAGAGCAAGCCAUUAGCUGAGCUAUGAGUUGGCCCACAAAAAGGGAGGUCAAAGUUAAAGAGUACAUUCCAGCGAUGCUCAUGGCAGUUAAAAUCAAGCUUGUUUACAAACUCAACGAUUUUGUGCGGCUUCGGGUGCGUUUUCCACUCGAAGACAACAAGGCCCGGGACUGAUUUAGAGAGAUGGGACUUGACGAACUCAUUGGUCGCAAGGAGAUUGAGCCAUGGCUUACAAACACACUUGCAGAUCAUAGUCGUUCGAGUGGGAAGUCUUGAGAGGAUAUUUAGUAUGAUUUCUGAUGGUAGAAAAUUGAAGAAAUGUUGCCCCAUGAUGGGAAUAUUGCAAGCUUCUGAUGGUAGAAAAUUGAAGAAAUGUUGUCGCAUGUUGGGACUAUUGGGAGCUUCAAUUUUUGUCUUCUUCAUCUUUUACCUCAUCAAAACAGAUAGCAAUAUACAAGAGUUAAUCCUUGAAACUAUUUCAUAUUUUUUAUCACAACUUAAAUAAACGGAAUCAAACAAGAGCAAAUGUAGGAUAUCUGUUUCAGUGACAAGCGUAUACUAACUAAGUCAGAUUUAAGGCCUAAAAAACCCUAAUCAAUUCAAAAAAUUAAUUCGGCAAAUUCGGCUUGUCCCAAUUUGGGCUUGCUCCGUCUUCUUCAUCUUUAACCUCACUGAUAAAAACAGGUAGCAGUAUCCCGGAGUUACUUCUUAAAACUAUUUGAUACUAUUUUUUAUCAGAACUUACACAAAAUUAAAUAAGAGCAAAUGUAGGAUAUCUAAGUCAGUGAGUGGCGAAUACUAACUAAAUCAGGUUUUACGCCCAAUAAACUCUAAUCACGAUAAAUUAUUUCAGCAAAUUCGGUGAUGCUAAUAACAAUAUCUGGAAGAAGAAAAAUACAUAUAGGCUGUAUUGUAUCCAAACUCGAACUAAUGAGUAAAGACUAAAGCCCUAAUUUACAGAAAAUCCGCACAAAAAAAAAAAAAAUAAUGACUAAAUGAGCCAAAAAAAAAAACAGAGAGAUGCAAAAUUGUGGAUGUAAAAAUACAAGCUCACCUUCUAGAGAAGGCGGUGGUGGAUCUCGACGCUGCAGCGGUGGAGAUGGUAGCCGCCGUUCAAGUGCUUUUACUGUAAAACUCAAAAUGCAGUAACCAAUUUGCUCCAAACAGUAUUGCAAAACCAAACGCAAUUUGCAUUUAUCGAUCAGCUUUUGAACGUGAGCUUUCAGAUUUGCCUCUAGUAUGUAAUUUAAUGUGGGCUUUCCUUUUUUAAUUUUUUUU
This 2220-nucleotide long non-coding RNA is filed under the name Salvia miltiorrhiza (redroot sage). Its description in RNAcentral is "long non-coding RNA (SMIL_LNC010380)". Lineage: Eukaryota; Viridiplantae; Streptophyta; Magnoliopsida; Lamiales; Lamiaceae. The record is from RNAcentral.